This is a non-coding RNA of Podarcis lilfordi (Lilford's wall lizard), 76 nucleotides long. Lineage: Eukaryota; Metazoa; Chordata; Lepidosauria; Squamata; Lacertidae. The record is from the annotation of a GenBank genome assembly.
GCUCUCAGGAUAGUUCAGUUGGUAAAGCAUGAUUCUCUUAAUCUCAGAGUUGUGGGUUCGAGUCUCAUGCUGAGCA